Notolabrus celidotus (New Zealand spotty) is the source of this 833-nucleotide long non-coding RNA. RefSeq lists it as uncharacterized. The record is from RefSeq and is a predicted model, not a curated record. The transcript is spliced from 2 exons. Lineage: Eukaryota; Metazoa; Chordata; Actinopteri; Labriformes; Labridae.
UCAAAGGCCAUCCGGGGCAAGGUUGUCUCCAAGAAGACUGGUGAGAUGGUCCAGAAGAAGACUGUGACAGUGAAUACACACGUCUCCACACUACUGAAGAACCUCAUUGACUUUGAAUGGGACUUCAUAUAGUGGCAACAAUAAAUCCAGUGAGAGGAACAACUAGCAAAGUGAUGAUCAUCUCUACCUGAACCACACUCUUCCUCUUUGAAUCAGGACUUUUCACUCCCACCCAGACUCUGAAGUUAAGUAAAAUAUGCACCUACCUCCAGGACUUUUUAAAGAGGUAAACAAGCCUACCUCACAGGACUAUUUUAGAGGUCAACAGGACUACCUCACAGGGCUAUUUUAGAGGUCAUAAAGCUUACCUCACAGGACUAUUUUAAAAAGGUAAACAAUACCAUACCUACAAUUGUUUCUCAAAUUUUGCUUUUGAUGUAUAUUUUUAAAAAUGUCUUUGAUGUUUCGCUUCAGAAUAGUCUAAAUACAAAUUUCAAAAUGUUCUUAAUAGUAGAGUUUGUUUUCCAAAUGUUGCUAGAGUCAAGUUCAUGUUGGUGAGUAUUUCACCUAUAAUUAAUACUGUUACAACUACAAAUUCAUAUACAUAUAAAUACAUCUUAUGUCUCCAGGUGUUUUCUCGUUUGGUACAGGGACAGUCUGACAUGCAAUUUAAGAAAAAAAUCCUAUUGAUUUGAGCGGACUAGGCACUUUUUAUUUUGUUACUCAAAUCUCUUUUGGUUUGUUUCUCUGGGUCAUCAAUGUUUUCUGCCAUUGUUUUUGACAGUUACAUGUCUGUUGACACUUCCCUUUUAAAUAAAGGUGUGUUAGAUUUA